GGCCGCGGGAUCACGUGCACCUGCCUCCGAACCCCACCCUCCUCACCAAACCGCGCGAGACCAACUGCCCCCAGGCCAUCUUCUUCUUCCGCACGAAAGAAGGAUCUGCCCAGGGGGCAAAAUCCUCCUUCAUCGCCAGGAGAGAAGAACGAACAUGGCGGCUCCCAGAGACAAAUAAGAGAAGAGAAGAGAAGAGGGCUUAGAAGUCAGAAAAGAAGACCAAGAGAAAAGCAGAUCAAAGGGAGGAGGGCGAAAAAAGAACCCACCUGGAGAUCCACAGGUUGAAGCAGCUUUCAAGGAUGAUAGACCUCAAUGUGUUGCCUCCCGAUCUCAAUGAGUUGCCAAAUGAUGAUGUCGAGUUUGUACAUUCAGGGGUUUUCACACAGCCUCAUCAAGAUCAUGGCUUGUUGCACUUUUUUGUUGAAACAAAGUGCAGCCUGAAUUGCCACCUGUCCUAGAUCCUAUACCAGACCCCAAACCUUUGGGUGAAGAAGAAGAAAUUGAAGAAGUGCCAAUAUUCGAUGGAGAGGAUAGUGGAAAAAAGAAGAAUAAGAAGAAGCGCAAGAGAGAAAGGAUAAAGCAAACACAAUGUAAGGCAAAAAUGCUGGUUAAAUUGAAGGAUGGGCGGUGGGAAGUAACCCACUUUGUCCGUGAUCAUAAUCAUCCUUUGGUCCCCAAGCCUUCGCUCUCCAAAUACUUGCGAUCUCACAUGGGUAUACCGCCGGAGGAAAAGAAGUUCCUAGAGAUACUCUACAACUGCAACCUAACUUCAGGCUGUAUGAUGACUAUCAUGUCAGAGUUUUAUGGCUCGGAGCUAAAUGUACCAUAUGGGCCUAAAGCAAUAACAAACUUAUGUGCUGGCUUCUCCAAAGACUCAACGAAAGAGGGGGGCAUUAUUGAGACAAUUGAACAUUUUAAAGAGUUGCAAAAAGAUGAUCCAGACUUUUUCUAUAAGAUAAAAUAUGAUCCCGAAGGAAGGGCAGAAAACAUUUUUUGGGUGAAUGGCUUGGCAUGGAAAGCUUAUACGGAGGCAUAUCAUGAUUGUGUCUCCUUUGACACAACCUACAUGACCAAUAUGUACAACAUGCCUUUUGCUCCGUUCAUUGGAAUCAAUUGUCAUGGGUAAUCUUUCAUGUUGGGCUGCGUGUUUGUGAGGCAAGAAAUGGAGACCAGCUUUGAUUGAGUUUUUGGAGCUUUCCUAGAGGCUAUGAAUGGAAGGGCACCAGAUAACAUCAUUACUGAUCAGGAUGUGGCAAUGAAAGAGUCCAUAAAGAAUAUAUUUCCCACAAGUGUGCACCGAUGUUGUCGGUGGCACAUCAUGAAAAAAGCUCAAGAGAAAGUUGGAUGGUUGCUAGGCCGGAACCCGGGAUUGUCUAAAGAUUUCAACCAUUGCGUUGAUUUCAGUUUCACACCAGAUGAGUUUGAACAGAAUUUGGCUGUGUUGAUGAUGAAAUAUGAGGCAAUUACACACACCCAUUUUGAGAAGCUAUACAAAUAUAGGAACACUUGGGUGCCAUGUUACUUCAAGCAUAGAUUUCUUCCCAUUCUUGCAGUCUACACAACGAAGUGAGGGGUUCAAUGCAGUCUUGAAGCGGUAUGUCAACCCUCACAAGUCAAUUCUGAACUUUGUGAAGGAGUACCACAAAAUACAGACGCACAUCCUCAUCAAGGAAGGGUGCAAUGACUACAGGACAGAACAUCUGGAUCUUGACAUGUGGUCACAAUUCCCAAUAGAGAAGCAGGCAUACAAGACAUAUACUAGAGAUCUUUACUGCAAGUUCCGUGAUGAGUUUUCGAUGAUUGGACGCUAUAAUGCAUUCCAAAUUGGUGUGGAAACGUUUGAGCUGAGACCAAAUACAGAAUGGGUUGUGAAGUAUGGUUACAGGAACUACUUGGUGUUGGCAAAAAUACCCGAGGGACAAUUUUCGUGUGAGUGUACCAAAAUGGAGAGGGAUGGCAUCCUUUGUUGCCACAUACUAAAAGUGUUCACACAUAUUGGGCUUGAUGUCAUCCCGGAGCAGUACAUGUUGACGCGUUGGACGCCAAUUGCUAUCCCAAGUGUGCCAAGUGCCACUAGCCAGCAAUCUGAUGUAAUGCCUCCUGCCUCUCUAAAGGAAAUUAGGCAUGCUAACAUGACCUCAGACUUCCAAAAACUAGCAAAGUUUGCUUGUGGUUCUGAUGCAGCAAAAGGCAUUGUCGAUAAACACAUGCGUGCAACGCGGACAGAGAUUGUGCAGCUGAACAAGUCUAGAAGGAAAAAAGGCUGCAAGAGAGGCAGGUCCGUCCGCUGGUGAUAACAACCAGGAUCCUCCCGUGCCGCCUACAUCUACAGGGUCUGCUCCAGCAACUACCCCUACUGGACGUGCUCCACCGCCUACUCCCAUGGGCCAUGGUGGACCACCUCCUCCCAUGGAACGUGUUGGUCAUGGUCCACCAUGUCCUCCCAUGGGUCGUGCUGCUCAUGCUCCAGUGCCUCCUCCCAUGGGUCGUGCUGAACAACCUCCUCCGAUGGGUCAUGGUGGGCCACGUGUGAGUAAUGCUUCGGCACCUCUUCCUAUGGGUAACACAACACAAGGCCAUACUAACUGCACUGAGCGGAUGUCGCCUACGAGCAACGACGAUGAGGUUGCAACUCCCAGGGAUCCGCCAAAGUCAACUACAGAAGGGAGGGCAAGGAGUAGACGCUAUCAUUCAGCUCUUGAACUGCACCUGAAAAGGAAAAACAGGUGCAGCAACUGCAACUCAGAUAAGCACAAUGCUGCUAGCUGCCCUACGAAGUUGGCAUGACAACUUGGUGACAUAUAAGCAAUAGAUAAAAUGAGGGAAGCAUAAAAAAAAGUUCUGGCUUUGCACUGUUAGGACAUGGAUGGAGCUAUGAAGAUCCAGCAACAAAAAACUUCUUUGGAAACUUCUUCUUUAUGUUGUUUAAACUUAGCAUCUGGCCCAUUUGUAUUUCAUGUUAAAAAAGUCAUGUAUACUAUCACUUUGCUAUGUGUGAGGCUACCUAUUUACCUAUUUAUGCCUCUGUUGGCAAAUUUACACAUUUACGCAUGCAACAUAGUAAAAAGAAAAAAUGUUACUAUGUGUGUUGUCCUUUA
Molecule: long non-coding RNA, 3098 nt
Organism: Aegilops tauschii subsp. strangulata
Lineage: Eukaryota; Viridiplantae; Streptophyta; Magnoliopsida; Poales; Poaceae
Source: RefSeq, a predicted model, not a curated record